CCUUGAAGGCCGCCUCUCUAAUCUGAAAGUUUUUCACCACUAGACUAGAGGGUGUUAGUAAUUUUGUUUAUGUGUUUCAUAUAGAUAACAUUGAGCUCUUGGCCUCAUGCAUGUGGAUUUACAGAGGAGUGACUGAGCACUGAUUGGCUAAAAUGCAAGUCUCUCAAAACAGUACUGAAAUAAGGUGGCAGUUUGCAGAGGCUUAGAUACAGAGAGAGGAGCAGCAGCAGCUACAAGAGAAAAGAGGUGAAGAAUUCAAAGGUUUUUUCACUGCUCGCAAAGGCCCAACCAUAACAAGGGAGAGAAAAAGAGAGCUGUAUGUUGCAUUUUUAAAAAUGAUUUACAUGGACUAUGAACCGCUGAAUACAGGAGAACGGGAAGGGAUGCAACACUUCGCCAGCGCGGCUCAACCGGGCUACACCCCCCCCUGCUUCAACACUAUCAGGGACACGCUCAUGCCACAUGCCCUGGAAGAGAUGGAAGCCAAACUGCAAGAACUGAUGGGUUUGUUCUGUCAGUGGAUAUUUGGACCAGUAGAAGAGGGCACAACUUCCUUGGCAUCGUGGCCAGUUUCAUUGAUGGGAUGUUCAGAGGGCAUACGGUUUUGUUGGGCUGUGAGCACAUACAAGGGCACCAUACCGCAGAUCGUAUUUACCAAAAGUAUGAAAGUGUACUGAAAUAUUGAAACGUGCAACGACGUGUGAUUAGGGUCGUCACUGACAGUGUGAGCAACAUGAUCAAGACGUUUAACCUCCUCCCUGGCACUGAACAGGAGGCAGAGAGCGAAGUGGCCGCAUAUGCCAGCAGCAGCACUGAAAAUGAAGAGGCGGAUGAAGGACCACCUGCACCAUCGCAAAUCCAAGUGGAAGAGAUAACCACCAAUGUAGAAACUAUGAUAAAUCAGUACUUUACUGUGUCUAAUUUACAUCUGAGAUGCCCCAUUCACAUGCUUCAGCUGGCGAUCAAAGACGUUUUGGAAAGAAAACUCCACGUCUUUUCCCUGCCUGGCUAAAGUACCUUGCAUUGUGUUCAGCAUCCAGGGUUUUUUUCCGCUGCCGGACUGCUGUCAAGAAACCACCGCAAGAGUCUGAAGCCUCAGACUUUGGCCAAACUUGUGUUCUUGAAAGUGAACUCAAAAGAAAUGUAGAUAAGGAAAGAAAUUCAUUUUUAUUUUGUUUUAAAGGUUGACUAUAUAUGUAGGCCAAUUUAAUUUGUAACCCUCCAAGGUAGUCACUAGCCAGCCUUGUCAGGAGCCACUAAUUAGGCCCAUUGAUUUGUUUAAUUUUACAGGACUUUUGUUGUUAUAUUCCUUUUUACGCAGGCUUAAUUUGUAAUUUGAAAUAAAUCAUUUCUAUUUGAAAAAUGUA
Bombina bombina (fire-bellied toad) is the source of this 1367-nucleotide long non-coding RNA. RefSeq lists it as uncharacterized. Lineage: Eukaryota; Metazoa; Chordata; Amphibia; Anura; Bombinatoridae. The record is from RefSeq and is a predicted model, not a curated record. The transcript has 2 exons.